CUGGCUGAUCAAGAAGCAGGGGGCUCUCCACCAAACCCUAGCUCUCACUAAAAUUGAUCAAUUGAAGGUUUAAUUCAGCCCAAAUCUAAAUCUAAACACGAAUUAGUGAUCACCUCACUGAAAGGAUCACAAGGCAAAGAAUCCGGAACGUCAAGCGGACACGCCGGGGGAGAUACGCGCUUGAAGGGUGUGCUCUAAAGUUUUCAGGUAUUGCAAGUAUGUGGACGAUGAUCAAGUUGAUGCUCCAAGAACCGAUGUUACACCCUAACAUGUAAUAGCUUUAAAAUG
Molecule: long non-coding RNA, 288 nt
Organism: Helianthus annuus (common sunflower)
Lineage: Eukaryota; Viridiplantae; Streptophyta; Magnoliopsida; Asterales; Asteraceae
Exons: 3
Source: RefSeq, a predicted model, not a curated record